GAUGAACGCUGACAGAAGGCUUAACACAUGCAAGUCAACUGUGGCGGACGGGUGAGUAACGCGUACACAACUUGCCUCACAGCUAGGGACAACCUUUGGAAACGAAUGCUAAUCCCUGAUACUGUGAGAGAGCUUUGCGUCGCAUUAGCUAGUUGGCGAGGUAACGGCUCACCAAGGCGAUGAUGGGUAGCCGGCCUGAGAGGGAGAUCGGCCACAAGGGGACUGGGACACGGCGCUUACAGCGACGGGAGGCAGCAGUGGGGAAUAUUGGACAAUGGACCAAAGUCUGAUACAGCAAUUCUGCGUGCAGGAUGAAGUUUUCGGAAGGUAGAGUGCUUUCAGUUGGGAAGCGGUACCAACAGAAGAAGUGACGGCUAAAUCCGUGCCAGCAGCCGCGGUAAUUC
This 404-nucleotide ribosomal RNA is filed under the name uncultured bacterium. RNAcentral describes it as "partial 16S ribosomal RNA". It matches the Rfam family "Bacterial small subunit ribosomal RNA", at positions 28 to 526 of the family's 1533-position model. The record is from RNAcentral.